Long non-coding RNA from Cucumis melo (muskmelon), 1202 nucleotides. RefSeq lists it as uncharacterized. The transcript has 4 exons. Lineage: Eukaryota; Viridiplantae; Streptophyta; Magnoliopsida; Cucurbitales; Cucurbitaceae. The record is from RefSeq and is a predicted model, not a curated record.
UAUAAGGGCUUGGCAGGUCUGGUUUUGGUUAGGCCAAAAGUGAAGAGUUCCCCACACAAGCUCUGAUACUGAGGGACCUAACCGGCUGGGAUAUAAGGGCUAGGCAGGUCUGGUCUUGGUUAGGCCAAAAGUGAAGAGUUCCCCACACAAGCUCUGAUACUGAGGGAGCUCAACGCAUUCUACUUGACCUAACCGGCUGGGAUAUAAGGUUUAGGCAGGUCUGGUUUUGGUUAGGCCAAAAGUGAAGAGUUCCCCACACAAGCUCUGAUACUGAGGGAGCCCAACGCAUUCUACUUGACCUAACCGGCUGGGAUAUAAGGUUUAGGCAGGUCUGGUUUUGGUUAGGCCAAAAGUGAAGAGUUCCCCACACAAGCUCUGAUACUGAGGGAGCUCAACGCAUUCUACUUGACCUAACCGGCUGGGAUAUAAGGUUUAGGCAGGUCUGGUUUUGGUUAGGCCAAAAGUGAAGAGUUCCCCACACAAGCUCUGAUACUGAGGGAGCUCAACGCAUUCUACUUGACCUAACCGGCUAGGAUAUAAGGUUUAGGCAGGUCUGGUUUUGGUUAGGCCAAAAGUGAAGAGUUCCCCACACAAGCUCUGAUACUGAGGGAGCUCAACGCAUUCUACUUGACCUAACCGGCUGGGAUAUAAGGUUUAGGCAGGUCUGGUCUUGGUUAGGCCAAAAGUGAAGAGUUCCCCACACAAGCUCUGAUACUGAGGGAGCUCAACGCAUUCUACUUGACCUAACCGGCUGGGAUAUAAGGGCUAGGCAGGUCUGGUUUUGGUUAGGCCAAAAGUGAAGAGUUCCCCACACAAGCUCUGAUACUGAGGGAGCUCAACGCAUUCUACUUGGCCUAACCGGCUGGGAUAUAACGUUUAGACAGGUCUGGUUUUGGUUAGGCCAAAAGUGAAGAGUUCCCCACACAAGCUCUGAUACUGAGGGAGCUCAACGCAUUCUACUUGACCUAACCGGCUGGGAUAUAAGGUUUAGGCAGGUCUGGUUUUGGUUAGGCCAAAAGUGAAGAGUUCCCCACACAAGCUCUGAUACUGAGGGAGCUCAACGCAUUCUACUUGACCUAACCGGCUGGGAUAUAAGGGCUAGGCAGGUCUGGUUUUGGUUAGGCCAAAAGUGAAGAGUUCCCCACACAAGCUCUGAUACUGAGGGAGCUCAACGCAUUCUACUUGACCUAACCGGCUGGGAU